GAACCGGGGCGCGCCUGAAAGUGGGCGGGCUGGGACUCAGGCGCCGGCUGUGAGGUUUAAGCUGCCUGGUUCCUUCCGCCUUUGUUUACUAGGUGAGCCGCUUCAAAACAGGUGACGUUUCUAAUUCCCUGUCACUCGGAGAGGCCAGGGACUGCCAGGUGGACCCCGAGGCCUGAUUUUCCCUGUCUUCACAGAGAAGAGCGAUGUUGCCUCCAAGUGCGGCCCCGGAUCCUGGCAGGGCUAGCCGGUGCCUCUGGACGAGGCCUUGGUGUUCGUCGUCCGUUCCCUCCCUGACUGUGUGCUCUAGCUCCGUAGUUCGUGACUUCUUCCUGCUUGAUUGCUGAACUGCAAGUGGCCACGUUACAAAAGGAAGAACUAAGUGUUUGUGAAAGCUGAUGCCCCAGAAGGCUCAGGCAGUAUUUGAGAUGUCUGAUGACUCCCCAUUUUCAUCAACACUUGGCGUGAUUAGUCUUCUCAGUCAGCAGUUCUAAUAGGAAAUUCCCUGGCAGUCCAGUGGUUAGAAGUUGGCACUUUCACUGCCAUGGCCCUGGUUCAAUCCUCGGUGGAGAAAUAAGAUUCCUCAAGCCACGAAGAGUGGCCAAAAACAAAAAACGAACAAUUUCUUGGCUCCUCCCUUACUUCUUCAGAACAGUCCCCUCGGAGCUAUCCGAGAGGCUGUAUGCCAGUCUUAAGUCCUCAGUAAGUCCUCUGAAUAAAUUGUGAUUCUCAA
Long non-coding RNA from Capra hircus (goat), 730 nucleotides. RefSeq lists it as uncharacterized. The record is from RefSeq and is a predicted model, not a curated record. NCBI's taxonomy places the organism in Eukaryota, Metazoa, Chordata, Mammalia, Artiodactyla, Bovidae. The transcript has 3 exons.